UAAAUGGGGACCCAACAUCGGUAACAAUAAUUAGGAUGAGCAUGGCUCUGAUACCAUGAUAAGAAUGAAUAUUGGGCCUACCUCAACCCAAAAGCUAGCUUGUGAGGUAAGGAUCGCCCAAGCCAUAUAAGGAGACCAAGGACCUCAAAUCCCUCCGAUGUGGGACAACUCAACAAUAUAUAUGUGUGUGUGUGUGUGUGUUAAUGUGAAAGGUUACGGUGGAUGUAACAUGUAUGUUAAUGUGAAAGUUAUGGUGGAUGUAAACCAUGAGAGGCCAAGCUGCUACAAUCAACAGGUCAGUUUUUAUAAUUGAUUUCACAAACUGCUUAUGCUGAAUUCUGGUUUAGUUGCCUUUGAAUGAACUCUUUGAAUUUGUAUUUUAUUUGUCAGUCAAUGUGUUUCAUCACCUUUAAGUUGGUUGGUCUUAGAAACCGGCUUUGAGUUACUAUUUGAAGAACCUACUUGCUUCCCUUCCGUUGGAUGGCCAGAUAUGCAUUUAUUAGUGCAACAUGCUUUUGUUGACCAUACGUGCUACUCUUUAUGUAAAACUACUCUAUGCGGUUGUAUUCUGUAGAUUUUGUUUCGGAGUA
Molecule: long non-coding RNA, 590 nt
Filed under: Nicotiana benthamiana
Lineage: Eukaryota; Viridiplantae; Streptophyta; Magnoliopsida; Solanales; Solanaceae
Description: long non-coding RNA (NBEN_LNC029623)
Source: RNAcentral